This 1119-nucleotide long non-coding RNA is filed under the name Nicotiana tabacum (common tobacco). RNAcentral's name for it is "long non-coding RNA (NTAB_LNC007937)". The record is from RNAcentral. Lineage: Eukaryota; Viridiplantae; Streptophyta; Magnoliopsida; Solanales; Solanaceae.
CCUCUCAUUGGCCAAGGAUUGUAUCUAUCUUUUUUCUCCUUUUUUUGACCUUUUUCUCUACUUUUCAUUUGUCUAAUAAUAAGAUAUAUUGUUGUAGUUAUAAGAACUCAUUUAUUACAAAACAUUAAAAAUUUAAUUAUAACUCCAUAAUGAAUAAGGGAAGAGAGAAAACAUUAGUUUCAAAACGAAAAGAAAUCCGUUUUUUGACUUAGCAAAGAAAGGAAAUUACAACUUUCUUUAAUUUCUCAACCGUUACAACUUUCCUCCAUAAUAAAAAAGGAAUGAUACAAUAGUCUUCCUUGCAACCUCCUCCUAUUCAAUCUUUUCUUGUGAUGAAUGAAAAUUUUGGUGGCGAAGCCUCUAUUAAGGUAUAAUUAUUUACUUUCCUACUCAAUAUAUUUUUUUUAUUGUACAUUGAGAUGUGAUGAAUGAAAAUUUUGGUGGCGAAGCCUCUAUUAAGGUAUAAUUAUUUACUUUCCUACUCAAUAUAUUUUUUUUUAUUGUACAUUGAGAUGUGAUGAAUGAAAAUUUUGGUGGCGAAGCCUCUAUUAAGGUAUAAUUAUUUACUUUCCUACUCAAUAUAUUUUUUUUUAUUGUACAUUGAGAUGAGAAUAUGUUGGUUUCUCAUUUGAUAUGACCCAUCAGUGCCUUUAAAAUAGAAAGAAAUUAUUGGAGGAGAGGAAGUGACUAUGGAAGCUCCGAUGGAAAAGCUCAUGGACGGCUUGAAGCUUCAUGUUUGGUUGGUAUUAGAUUUUUAGGUUUUUCUAUUUAAGUUUCAAUUUGUUUUUUUUUUUUAAUUUUUCUAUCACGGGAUUUAUAUUUAUUUUUCUCAACUUGUGUCAUAGUUGUCGCAGGUAAUUAUGAGAGCAUCAAGGUCCAAAGAACAAGAGGACUUGGUCCUUGCACAAGAGCUGCGGAUGCAACUCGAUAUCCUUCAAGAGACGGUAGGACACAAUUGGUGCCAUUUGUUUUUUUCCACAAUAUUUGUCUCAAGAAACAAGAAAUUCUUCGUAUGAAGUUUGAACAGUUGUAAUAGGUAAUUUAUCCAUUGUUUUAGUUCAUAGAAGAAUCACGACAAUAUGUUUAUUACUAAAAAUAUUAAUUUUCUUUUACAAAAAU